GAAUCUUCCACAAUGGACGAAAGUCUGAUGGAGCAACGCCGCGUGAGCGAUGAAGGCCUUCGGGUCGUAAAGCUCUGUUGUUAGGGAAGAACAAGUACCGGAGUAACUGCCGGUACCAUGACGGUACCUAACCAGAAAGCCACGGCUAACUACGUGCCAGCCGCCGCGGUAAUACGUAGGUGGCAAGCGUUGUCCGGAAUUAUUGGGCGUAAAGCGCGCGCAGGCGGCCCUUUAAGUCUGAUGUGAAAGCCCACGGCUCAACCGUGGAGGGUCAUUGGAAACUGGGGGACUUGAGUGCAGAAGAGGAAAGCGGAAUUCCACGUGUAGCGGUGAAAUGCGUAGAGAUGUGGAGGAACACCAGUGGCGAAGGCGGCUUUCUGGUCUGUAACUGACGCUGAGGCGCGAAAGCGUGGGGAGCAAACA
RNAcentral lists this ribosomal RNA (423 nucleotides) under uncultured bacterium. RNAcentral's name for it is "bacterial SSU rRNA". It matches the Rfam family "Bacterial small subunit ribosomal RNA", at positions 359 to 774 of the family's 1533-position model. The record is from RNAcentral.